AUCGAAGCACGAAUUCCUAUACCUCUGAAAUGCAGUAGGAUGGAAUGAGACUACGUGAAGAAGAAGAGCACCAAGGUCCAGCACGACCGGGCGAAAUUGGCCCUUUUUAGUCUUUGCUUCAUUCCCAUUACACGACAAUGACCAAAGAGGGGCAGCUGUAAUAGGCCCAAUUUGCCCGGGCCCAAAAACACAAACAAAAAAAUAAAUCAAAUAUAAAAACAAAUAAAAUUAAAAUGCCAUUACUAAACAGUCCAGUUUUUUUACAGACCAAGUUAAAUUAAGCUCAAACCCGAUUACAAAAUCCAAAUACCCAAUGAACCCCAACACCAGCCCUAUGCCCAGCCCAAAUCAAGGCCGAAACCCUAGCAGUCUCUAAAACAGAAGCAGACUCCAGCGCCGUAACCAAGCCCUCCAC
Molecule: long non-coding RNA, 415 nt
Filed under: Gossypium raimondii (Peruvian cotton)
Lineage: Eukaryota; Viridiplantae; Streptophyta; Magnoliopsida; Malvales; Malvaceae
Description: long non-coding RNA (GRAI_LNC002549)
Source: RNAcentral